This 445-nucleotide ribosomal RNA is filed under the name uncultured bacterium. Its description in RNAcentral is "SSU rRNA". It matches the Rfam family "Bacterial small subunit ribosomal RNA", at positions 26 to 518 of the family's 1533-position model. The record is from RNAcentral.
AGAACGAACGCUGGCGGCAGGCUUAACACAUGCAAGUCGAGCGCCCCGCAAGGGGAGCGGCAGACGGGUGAGUAACGCGUGGGAACAUACCCUCCGGUUCGGAAUAGCUCAGGGAAACUUGGAUUAAUACCGGAUACGGCCUAGCGGCGAAAGAUUGAUCGCCGGAGGAUUGGCCCGCGUCUGAUUAGCUAGUUGGUGGGGUAAUGGCCCACCAAGGCGACGAUCAGUAGCUGGUCUGAGAGGAUGAUCAGCCACAUUGGGACUGAGACACGGCCCAAACUCCUACGGGAGGCAGCAGUGGGGAAUAUUGGACAAUGGGCGCAAGCCUGAUCCAGCCAUGACCGCGUGAGUGAUGACGGCCUUAGGGUUGUAAAGCUCUUUCGCUAGGGACGAUAAUGACGGUACCUAGACAAGAAGCCCCGGCUAACUUCGCGCCAGCAGCCGC